GAUCAGACGUGCAGGGAAAAUCUAGUUCCUUUUGUAACUAACCUGACUUUACAAGCCUCACCCCAAUGGGAGAAAAACACAACUAAAUGCUCAAUCCAUUGUAAAGAUUAGCAUGAGCUGACGAUUUUAAGAGUCCACAAGUGGUUCAGCUCAGCCUCGCCCCCGAGGACAGUGUCAGUGUGACCACAGUGACCGUGGGGCUGAGCACAGUGCUGACCUGUGCCGUCCGUGGAGACCUGAGACCACCAAUCAUCUGGAAGCGCAACGGGCUCACCCUGAACUUCCUGGACUUGGAAGACAUCAAUGACUUUGGAGAGGAUGAUUCCCUGUACAUCACCAAGGUGACCACCAUCCACAUGGGCAAUUACACGUGCCAUGCUUCCGGCCACGAGCAGCUGUUCCAGACCCACGUCCUGCAGGUGAAUGUGCCGCCAGUCAUCCGUGUCUAUCCAGAGAGCCAGGCACAGGAGCCCGGAGUGGCGGCCAGCCUGAGAUGCCAUGCUGAGGGCAUUCCCAUGCCCAGAAUCACUUGGCUGAAAAACGGCGUGGAUGUCUCAACUCAGAUGUCUAAACAGCUUUCCCUUUUAGCCAAUGGGAGCGAACUCCACAUCAGCAGUGUUCGGUAUGAAGACACAGGGGCAUACACCUGCAUUGCCAAAAAUGAAGUGGGUGUGGAUGAAGAUAUCUCCUCGCUCUUCAUUGAAGACUCAGCUAGAAAGACCCGCCUCAGCGUGGGAAACAUGUUCUAUGUCUUCUCCGACGACGGCAUCAUCGUCAUCCAUCCUGUGGACUGUGAAAUCCAGAGGCACCUCAAACC
This 817-nucleotide small RNA is filed under the name Pongo abelii (Sumatran orangutan). RNAcentral's name for it is "processed transcript". Lineage: Eukaryota; Metazoa; Chordata; Mammalia; Primates; Hominidae. The record is from RNAcentral.